GCCCUGGUUGCACAAUGUUUAAGCUCUUGGCUGCUAACCAAAAGGUUGGUGGUUCAAACUCACCCAGCGGCU
This 72-nucleotide transfer RNA is filed under the name Loxodonta africana (African savanna elephant). It matches the Rfam family "tRNA". Rfam says of the family: Transfer RNA (tRNA) molecules are approximately 80 nucleotides in length. Their secondary structure includes four short double-helical elements and three loops (D, anti-codon, and T loops). The record is from Rfam by way of RNAcentral. Lineage: Eukaryota; Metazoa; Chordata; Mammalia; Proboscidea; Elephantidae.